CAGCCGCCGCGGUAAUACGAAGGGUGCAAGCGUUACUCGGAAUUACUGGGCGUAAAGCGUGUGUAGGUGGUUGUUUAAGUCUGUCGUGAAAGCCCUGGGCUCAACCUGGGAAUUGCGAUGGAUACUGGGCGACUAGAGUGCGGUAGAGGAUAGUGGAAUUUCCGGUGUAGCAGUGAAAUGCGUAGAGAUCGGAAGGAACAUCUGUGGCGAAGGCGACUAUCUGGGCCAACACUGACACUGAGACACGAAAGCGUGGGGAGCAAACAGGAUUAGAUACCCCAGUAGUCCCUGUCUCUUAUAC
This 301-nucleotide ribosomal RNA is filed under the name uncultured bacterium. Its description in RNAcentral is "partial 16S ribosomal RNA". It matches the Rfam family "Bacterial small subunit ribosomal RNA", at positions 509 to 807 of the family's 1533-position model. The record is from RNAcentral.